AGCGAACGCUGGCGGCAGGCCUAACACAUGCAAGUCGAACGAACCUUUCGGGGUUAGUGGCGGACGGGUGAGUAACACGUGGGAACGUGCCUUUAGGUUCGGAAUAACUCAGGGAAACUUGUGGUAAUACCGAAUGUGCCCUUCGGGGGAAAGAUUAAUCGCCUUUAGAGCGGCCCGCGUCUGAUUAGCUAGUUGGUUGAGGUAAUGGCUCACCAAGGCGACGAUCAGUAGCUGGUCUGAGAGGAUGAUCAGCCACAUUGGGACUGAGACACGGCCCAAACUCCUACGGGAGGCAGCAGUGGGGAAUCUUGCGCAAUGGGCGAAAGCCUGACGCAGCCAUGCCGCGUGAAUGAUGAAGGUCUUAGGAUUGUAAAAUUCUUUCACCGGGGACGAUAAUGACGGUACCCGGAGAAGAAGCCCCGGCUAACUUCGUG
Molecule: ribosomal RNA, 434 nt
Filed under: uncultured bacterium
Lineage: Bacteria
Description: partial 16S ribosomal RNA
Rfam family: Bacterial small subunit ribosomal RNA
Source: RNAcentral